This 482-nucleotide ribosomal RNA is filed under the name uncultured bacterium. RNAcentral describes it as "bacterial SSU rRNA". It matches the Rfam family "Bacterial small subunit ribosomal RNA", at positions 30 to 506 of the family's 1533-position model. The record is from RNAcentral.
UUGAACGCUGGCGGCAUGCUUUACACAUGCAAGUCGAACGGUAACAGGGAGCUUGCUCCGCUGACGAGUGGCGAACGGGUGAGUAAUGCAUCGGAACGUACCUAGUCGUGGGGGAUAACUAUCCGAAAGGAUAGCUAAUACCGCAUACGUCCCGAGGGAGAAAGCAGGGGAUCGCAAGACCUUGCGCGAUUAGAGCGGCCGAUGUCGGAUUAGCUAGUUGGUGGGGUAAAGGCCUACCAAGGCAACGAUCCGUAGCUGGUCUGAGAGGAUGAUCAGCCACACUGGGACUGAGACACGGCCCAGACUCCUACGGGAGGCAGCAGGGGGGAAUUUUGGACAAUGGGCGCAAGCCUGAUCCAGCCAUUCCGCGUGAGUGAAGAAGGCCUUCGGGUUGUAAAGCUCUUUCGGCAGGGAAGAAACGGCAGGCUCUAACAUAGCCUGCUAAUGACGGUACCUGAAGAAGAAGCACCGGCUAACUACGU